This 549-nucleotide long non-coding RNA is filed under the name Panax ginseng (ginseng). RNAcentral's name for it is "long non-coding RNA (PGIN_LNC014072)". The record is from RNAcentral. Lineage: Eukaryota; Viridiplantae; Streptophyta; Magnoliopsida; Apiales; Araliaceae.
AUUUUAAGUUUUGAUUAUUUUGACUCAGUUUGGAGAAUUGUACUUAUUACUUUAUUAAUGAAUCACCACUAUUAAUAUUUUGAGGUUGUUAGUGCUCUGUUUAUUUAUUUUGAGGUUUGUUGUGCUUUGCACGUGACCUCCCUUUCCUUUUCGGGAAGGGGGUGUUACAGAGAUGGUAUCAAAGCUUAGGUUCUUUUUUGUAGAAAACCUAUUUAGGUUUGACCUGUGAGUUGUGGGUAAAUCAUUGGGUAGACGUAGGAGUUUGAUUUGAUUUUGUUCUCUGUUUGGUUGGUCUUGAUUUUGACCAAGUGUUUUUAGCUCUUUAAAUUGUAAUUGAUUUGAGAAAGGCGAGUUAACUUGUUAAGAUUAUUAUUGUUAUAUUUGUUGGAUCAAUAAUGUUAGUUAAGGAUGGUGAUUUGAUCAUUAAGGAGAAUAAUGUCAUACUUUGUUCAGUUAAGAAAUGAUUAUACGAUUAUGAUAUGAGCAUUUGUAUCAGUGAGUUUUGAUAUUGGAGAAUUAUUUGUUAGAGUUAUUACAGGUAAUUACAAA